Molecule: ribosomal RNA, 686 nt
Filed under: uncultured bacterium
Lineage: Bacteria
Description: bacterial SSU rRNA
Rfam family: Bacterial small subunit ribosomal RNA
Source: RNAcentral
UAACACGUGAGUAACCUGCCCCCGAGAGCGGGAUANCCCUGGGAAACUGGGAUUAAUACCGCAUAGUAUCGAAAGAUUAAAGCAGCAAUGCGCUUGGGGAUGGGCUCGCGGCCUAUUAGUUAGUUGGUGAGGUAACGGCUCACCAAGGCGAUGACGGGUAGCCGGUCUGAGAGGAUGUCCGGCCACACUGGAACUGAGACACGGUCCAGACACCUACGGGUGGCAGCAGUCGAGAAUCAUUCACAAUGGGGGAAACCCUGAUGGUGCGACGCCGCGUGGGGGAAUGAAGGUCUUCGGAUUGUAAACCCCUGUCAUGUGGGAGCAAAUUAAAAAGAUAGUACCACAAGAGGAAGAGACGGCUAACUCUGUGCCAGCAGCCGCGGUAAUACAGAGGUCUCAAGCGUUGUUCGGAAUCACUGGGCGUAAAGCGUGCGUAGGCUGUUUCGUAAGUCGUGUGUGAAAGGCGCGGGCUCAACCCGCGGACGGCACAUGAUACUGCGAGACUAGAGUAAUGGAGGGGGAACCGGAAUUCUCGGUGUAGCAGUGAAAUGCGUAGAUAUCGAGAGGAACACUCGUGGCGAAGGCGGGUUCCUGGACAUUAACUGACGCUGAGGCACGAAGGCCAGGGGAGCGAAAGGGAUUAGAUACCCCUGUAGUCCUGGCAGUAAACGGUGCACGCUUGGUGU